This 446-nucleotide ribosomal RNA is filed under the name uncultured bacterium. Its description in RNAcentral is "partial 16S ribosomal RNA". It matches the Rfam family "Bacterial small subunit ribosomal RNA", at positions 338 to 795 of the family's 1533-position model. The record is from RNAcentral.
CCUACGGGUGGCAGCAGUCGAGAAUCAUUCACAAUGGGGGAAACCCUGAUGGUGCGACGCCGCGUGGGGGAAUGAAGGUCUUCGGAUUGUAAACCCCUGUCAUGUAGGAGCAAAUUAAAAAGAUAGUACCACAAGAGGAAGAGACGGCUAACUCUGUGCCAGCAGCCGCGGUAAUACAGAGGUCUCAAGCGUUGUUCGGAAUCACUGGGCGUAAGGCGUGCGUAGGCUGUUUCGUAAGUCGUGUGUGAAAGGCGCGGGCUCAACCCGCGGACGGCACAUGAUACUGCGAGACUAGAGUAAUGGAGGGGGAACCGGAAUUCUCGGUGUAGCAGUGAAAUGCGUAGAUAGCGAGAGGAACACUCGUGGCGAAGGCGGGUUCCUGGACAUUAACUGACGCUGAGGCACGAAGGCCAGGGGAGCGAAAGGGAUUAGAUACCCCAGUAGUC